GGGGUUGUGGCUCAGCGGUAGAGCGCUCACCUGGCAUGUGUGGGGGGCUGGGUUUGAUCCUCAGCAACACAU
Non-coding RNA from Ictidomys tridecemlineatus (thirteen-lined ground squirrel), 72 nucleotides. The record is from Rfam. NCBI's taxonomy places the organism in Eukaryota, Metazoa, Chordata, Mammalia, Rodentia, Sciuridae.